ACGGCUCAGUAACACGUGGACAACCUACCCAAUAGUCUGGGAUAACCCCGGGAAACUGGGGAUAAUACCGGAUAGAUCAUCUUUGCUGGAAGGCUUGGUGGUUGAAACUUCAGGGGCUGUUGGAUGGGUCUGCGGCUGAUUAGGUUGUUGCCGGUGUAACGUACCGUCAAGCCUGUAAUCAGUACGGGUUGUGGGAGCAAGAGCCCGGAGAUGGAUUCUGAGACACGAAUCCAGGCCCUACGGGGCGCAGCAGGCGCGAAAACUCUACAAUGCAGGCAACUGCGAUAGGGGAACAUCGAGUGGCAUUCAUAUUGGGUGCCUGUCCACCCGUCUAAAAAACGGGUGUUAGCAAGGGCCGGGCAAGACCGGUGCCAGCCGCCGCGGUAAUACCGGCGGCUCGAGUGAUGGCCGAUAUUAUUGAGUCUAAAGGGUCCGUAGCCGGCUUUGCAAGUCUCUCGGGAAAUCCAGCGGCUUAACCGUUGGUCGUCCGGGGGGUACUACAUUGCUUGGGACUGGGAGAGGUAGGAGGUACUCAGGGGGUAGGAGUGAAAUCCUGUAAUCCUUUGGGGACCACCGGUGGCGAAGGCGUCCUACCAGAACAGGUCCGACGGUGAGGGACGAAAGCUAGGGGCACGAACCGGAUUAGAUACCCGGGUAGUCCUAGCCGUAAACGAUGCUCGCUAGGUGUCACAACAGUCGUGAACUGUUGUGGUGCCGUAGGGAAGCCGUGAAGCGAGCCACUUGGGAAGUACGACCGCAAGGUUGAAACUUAAAGGAAUUGGCGGGGGAGCAC
This 793-nucleotide ribosomal RNA is filed under the name uncultured archaeon. RNAcentral describes it as "bacterial SSU rRNA". It matches the Rfam family "Archaeal small subunit ribosomal RNA", at positions 85 to 879 of the family's 1478-position model. The record is from RNAcentral.